ACAGAUUAUCAGGUUAUUUUUAGUUGUAAUUUAUUUUUUAUUGUCUAUUUAUCAAAACUUAUUUAACCCUAUUUUAAAAAUGGACUAGUCAUGAUUGUUAGUUCAUACCUGGCAUCUUGAUAGCAAAUCAUUUCAACUUUAAUUAAACCAGGAUUUUUAUGAUGCUGGGAAUCAGUUAACUGAAACUGCAGAACGAUCGUCAACAUUGAAAGGCUUCGAUUACCGGUUAGCUGAGCUGCAAUAUGGGAGAUCAAGUCUUGGACAUCGAUUUGGUUGUCAAGAUACUGAGGCGGCAAAAAGAGCUUAGGCUUUCCUCUAACAUAAGCAGAAAAUACGAUGAACGCCUCGACUUCACGCAACCGGAUGUGCUAUGCGAAUUACAG
Molecule: long non-coding RNA, 383 nt
Filed under: Anneissia japonica
Lineage: Eukaryota; Metazoa; Echinodermata; Crinoidea; Comatulida; Comatulidae
Description: uncharacterized LOC117112626, transcript variant X1
Source: RNAcentral